RNAcentral lists this ribosomal RNA (238 nucleotides) under uncultured bacterium. Its description in RNAcentral is "partial 16S ribosomal RNA". It matches the Rfam family "Bacterial small subunit ribosomal RNA", at positions 1263 to 1500 of the family's 1533-position model. The record is from RNAcentral.
UGGAGCAAAACUUCAAAAAUAGGUCUCAGUUCGGACUGUAGGCUGCAACUCGCCUACACGAAGUUGGAAUUGCUAGUAAUCGUGGAUCAGCAUGCCACGGUGAAUACGUUCCCGGGUCUUGUACACACCGCCCGUCACACCAUGGGAGCUGGUAACACCCGAAGUCAGUAGUCUAACCGCAAGGAGGACGCUGCCGAAGGUGGGAUUAGCGACUGGGGUGAAGUCGUAACAAGGUAAC